Malus domestica (apple) is the source of this 1224-nucleotide non-coding RNA. The record is from RefSeq and is a predicted model, not a curated record. NCBI's taxonomy places the organism in Eukaryota, Viridiplantae, Streptophyta, Magnoliopsida, Rosales, Rosaceae.
CAGAACCCCCAACCCACCCCCACCCCACCCCCCACCCGGCGACCCAGCGACCCAGCUCACCCAAAACCCAACCCCCACCUUUCUCUCAUCUGCAACCCCACCCACCCUUUUCUCCUCUCUACAACUCGCACUCACCUUUCUUUCCCAUCCGAAUCUGCUCGUCAACGAGUCCAUCGGCUCCGACAACGAGAAAUCAAAAGCUCACGCAGCGUAGCGUGGCCUCCUCACGGACUGUAUCCAUCAGCAUCAAGAGCAUUGACAUCAGAACCAUUGUUUAUCAAUGUAUAGACUAAAUCAACUUUCCCGUGUUGUGCUGCAUGACGUUCAUUUCAGCCCCAGCGUCGGUAAGCAAUUUGAAAGUUUCAAGUUUCUUCAAAGCAUCAACAUCGUUUGCUAGAGUCACAAGCAUUCGAGGAGAAAAUAUUGAAGUAUCGCUUGAUUGAACAGUUUCACCAGAUCGAAUCACGUCUACGACUGCUUGUCUGAAGUUAAGAGCCCAUCUUGCUGAGUCUACAAUGAAGCUUGCACUAUGACCAGUAGCAUUCACCAUGCCAAAAUCAGCACCGUCUGAAGCCAGGAUUUUAAUGCAUUCCUGGUGUUUAUAUCUAGCACAGAUCAUUAGUGCAGUUUCUCCAGAUUCUGUCUGAGAGUUGAUAUUGCACCCGGCACUAAUCAAUAGCAUCACUGUCACCAAACAAAAGUUAUAUGUUCAAGCAAUUAAAACACAGAGAUUUUGGUUAUGGUAACCUUGAUUGUACUUCACACCUAUUUAUGCUGUCCACAAUCAUGUUUUAGGCAAUGUAGACUCAAUUAAAAACAUAAAAACUUAAAAGUGCUUAUGAGCAGAGGUUAUUCCCUACAUAAGGACGAGCCCUAAUUGACACGUAAACCCUUUAUGGAUUUUUCGAUUAAUCAUUGAUUAAAAGUUACCUUGAUGAGAGUGUCAACUAAUCAACAAAGCCUCUGCAGGAAGUGGAAGCAAGAGCAUGCACAACAGACAAUCCUUGUCCAUGCACAACAGCCUGAGGGCAGAUCAUGUCGGAUCCCAUGAGCAUCUCGGAAGACCUAGCCCUGCCCAAGUAGCUUGCCUCCAACAAAGCCUCCUCACAUGCCUGCUGAGACGCGCCCCCAUUGAUGAGCACCUCCAAUAUCUCUAGAGUAAUGUUAGUGAGAUUGAAUUUGUAGACUAAAUUUGCAAUCUAAAUGAUGUGUCAUUAAUAUGAA